This 421-nucleotide ribosomal RNA is filed under the name Verrucomicrobiota bacterium. RNAcentral's name for it is "Verrucomicrobia bacterium partial 16S ribosomal RNA". It matches the Rfam family "Bacterial small subunit ribosomal RNA", at positions 355 to 776 of the family's 1533-position model. The record is from RNAcentral. Lineage: Bacteria; Pseudomonadati; Verrucomicrobiota.
UGGGGAAUAUUGCACAAUGGGCGAAAGCCUGAUGCAGCGACGCCGCGUGAGGGAUGGAGGCCUUCGGGUUGUAAACCUCUUUCAGUAAGGGUGAAGGCUCUCUUUUGUGGAGGGUUGACAGUACUUGCAGAAGAAGCGCCGGCUAACUACGUGCCAGCAGCCGCGGUAAUACGUAGGGCGCGAGCGUUGUCCGGAAUUAUUGGGCGUAAAGGGUACGUAGGCGGGUAAGCAAGUUAGAAGUGAAAUCCUGUAGCUCAACUACAGUAAGCUUUUAAAACUGCUCAUCUUGAGAUAUGGAAGGGAAAGUGGAAUUCCUAGUGUAGCGGUGAAAUGCGCAGAUAUUAGGAGGAAUACCGGUGGCGAAGGCGACUUUCUGGCCAUAAUCUGACGCUGAGGUACGAAAGCGUGGGUAGCAAACAGG